UACGUAGGUGGCGAGCGUUAUCCAGAAUUACUGGGCGUAAAGGGUGCGCAGGCGGCCUGUUAAGUUUAAGGUGAAAGCGUGGGGCUUAACCCCAUAAAGCCUUAGAUACUGGCAGGCUAGAGUACUGGAGAGGGAAGUGGAAUUCCAUGUGUAGCGGUAAAAUGCGUAGAUAUAUGGAGGAACACCAGUGGCGAAGGCGGCUUCCUAGCCAGAAACUGACGCUCAGGCACGAAAGCGUGGGGAGC
Molecule: ribosomal RNA, 245 nt
Filed under: uncultured Holdemania sp.
Lineage: Bacteria; Bacillati; Bacillota; Erysipelotrichia; Erysipelotrichales; Erysipelotrichaceae
Description: partial 16S ribosomal RNA
Rfam family: Bacterial small subunit ribosomal RNA
Source: RNAcentral